RNAcentral lists this ribosomal RNA (427 nucleotides) under uncultured bacterium. RNAcentral describes it as "bacterial SSU rRNA". It matches the Rfam family "Bacterial small subunit ribosomal RNA", at positions 355 to 774 of the family's 1533-position model. The record is from RNAcentral.
UAAGGAAUAUUGGUCAAUGGACGGAAGUCUGAACCAGCAAUGCCGCGUGCAGGAUGAAGGCCUUCGGGUUGUAAACUGCUUUUGUACGGAACGAAACGGCUCUGGUUAAUACCUGGGGCUAAUGACGGUACCGUAAGAAUAAGCACCGGCUAACUACGUGCCAGCAGCCGCGGUAAUACGUAGGGUGCGAGCGUUAAUCGGAAUUACUGGGCGUAAAGCGUGCGCAGGCGGUGAUGUAAGACAGAUGUGAAAUCCCCGGGCUCAACCUGGGACCUGCAUUUGUGACUGCAUCGCUGGAGUGCGGCAGAGGGGGAUGGAAUUCCGCGUGUAGCAGUGAAAUGCGUAGAUAUGCGGAGGAACACCGAUGGCGCAGGCAAUCCCCUGGGCCUGCACUGACGCUCAUGCACGAAAGCGUGGGGAGCAAACA